Molecule: long non-coding RNA, 303 nt
Organism: Musca domestica (house fly)
Lineage: Eukaryota; Metazoa; Arthropoda; Insecta; Diptera; Muscidae
Exons: 2
Source: RefSeq, a predicted model, not a curated record
CUGGCAUUCAGUUGGGCAUACUCUUCAUCCUUAUAGGGCUGCCACAAUCCCACUGCAUAGGAUGGAGUUUUGUCUGUCGUGGAUAACUUCAGCGCAGCCUUAAACUAACGCUUGUGGGAAAGGCCUGCCAAAACACAGGCGUUAUGGAGGAGAUGGCAUUGAUCCAGAGCUUGAAGCCAAUGCAAAUCAAUUCUAUGCAAAAUAUUGCCAGAAUUUCAUUGGACAUUUUAUGCCGCAGUUUUUCCAAUUCCUCAAUCCUUUUAUGAAAAUGCCUUUUAAAUAUAUAGAAGAUCUCAUUUUCAA